GGUUGCGCGGCCAUCGUG
RNAcentral lists this unclassified non-coding RNA (18 nucleotides) under Chlamydomonas reinhardtii. RNAcentral's name for it is "small RNA Cre_1995". The record is from RNAcentral. Lineage: Eukaryota; Viridiplantae; Chlorophyta; Chlorophyceae; Chlamydomonadales; Chlamydomonadaceae.